RNAcentral lists this ribosomal RNA (506 nucleotides) under bacterium KB06F1. RNAcentral describes it as "bacterial SSU rRNA". It matches the Rfam family "Bacterial small subunit ribosomal RNA", at positions 379 to 879 of the family's 1533-position model. The record is from RNAcentral.
AAGUCUGACGGAGCAACGCCGCGUGAGNGAUGAAGGUUUUCGGAUCGUAAAGCUCUGUUGCCAGGGAAGACGUCUUCUAGAGUAACCGCUAAGAGAGNGAAAAUACCUGAGAAGAAAGCCCCGGCUAACUACGUGCCAGCAGCCGCGGNAAUACGUAGGGGGCAAGCGUUGUCCGGAAUUAUUGGGCGUAAAGCGCGCGCAGGCGGGUCUUUAAGUUGGUGUUUAACCCGAGGCUCAACUUUGGGUCGCAUUGUAAACUGGGGGACUUGAGUGCAGAAGAGGAGAGGGGAAUUCCACGUGUAGCCGGUGAAAUGCGUACAUAUGUGGAGGAACACCAGUGGCGAAGGCGACUCUCUGGGCUGUAACUGACGCUGAGGCGCGAAAGCGUGGGGAGCAAACAGGAUUAGAUACCCUGGUAGUCCACGCCGCAAACGAUGAAUGCUAGGUGUUAGGGGUUUCGAUACCCUUGGUGCCGAAGUUAACACAUUAAGCAUUCCGCCUGGGGA